Molecule: non-coding RNA, 1111 nt
Organism: Rattus norvegicus (Norway rat)
Lineage: Eukaryota; Metazoa; Chordata; Mammalia; Rodentia; Muridae
Source: RefSeq, a predicted model, not a curated record
CUGCUCAAGUCCAAACUUCUAUCCUUUCUUUAUCUGUUGAGCAGGAUCUGAUCUUAUUCUCUAAGAGUUGCAUCCGGUCUCAGCUCCAGCAGGAAGGCUCCAUCAUAGAUUUAGCCAGGGACUCUAUAUGCUCACUAUGACUCAGGUGACAGAGUGCUUUAGUGAUCAGUGCUCAGCCUGGCCAAGAGUUUAGCCUAUAAGAAUGUAAGCUUACCAGCCAUACUGCCCUGGCCGGCCCUGUAACUAAUCUCUCUGUGUCUUAGAAAGGACUCAGUAAAUGUUGGCUGUGGCUUCCACUGUCUCCAGCAGUUUGUUUCCUCCUUAUAAAUGUUCAUCUCAUUCCAUCCCAGGAAUCUCUGGGAAGAGUUCCGGCUGUGUCUGGUCUUCACUAUUCACGUUCUUUAGAGUCUGAUAAAGAAGGCUCUGAGUGAGGAAGGCCCUGGAAUUACUCCUGUCUUUUCCUUGCAACCAGCAACCGCAUUCUUAGCUAAGUUUCCUGAGGGUGGGGCAGGAGAACAGGGGACUCAUUCUUCUUGUUAUUUGUCUUCUCUGUCCCUUGUGAGUUUCUCCAGAUCCUCUGUUCCUCUUUUAUGAAACUAACCUUGGUGACUCCACAUGUUUAUGUAACCUGAAAUGUCAUCCAUCCCUUUGCCGUACGGCUAUGUCCUAUGGAUUGGAACAUAUCCCAUGAAGGAAGAGAAGGGCUCUCAUAUUCCAGAAGUACCUGACUUUGUUUUCUACUGCUGUGAAGAGUGCUGUGACAGCAGCUUGAACAUAACUCACCAAAGAACUUCUCGGACACGCUGGCGGCAAGAACUCCCUCGGAUUGGCAGAGCUUUGUGGUGUCCUCCAGAUCAGACUGCCCUUGUUGAUUCGUGAGUGGUGGCUGCCGAAUGGACUGGACUACAGCUGCUCAUCCAUGUUUGGUGUUUGCUAGAGGACUGGACUGCUGAUAACCAAGAUUGGAAUCUCCAUAAAGAACUAUUUCUGAACAGGUUCACAACCCCUGUUUCCUAUUAGCCUUUCUUUCCCACUAUCACUGGUGGGUAAUAGGCUAGAAGGGAGUUUGAAGUGCUUAAGAACCCUUAUUAAAGUAAGUUUUGAAAAAAUC